This 373-nucleotide ribosomal RNA is filed under the name uncultured bacterium. Its description in RNAcentral is "bacterial SSU rRNA". It matches the Rfam family "Bacterial small subunit ribosomal RNA", at positions 527 to 898 of the family's 1533-position model. The record is from RNAcentral.
GUAGGGUGCGAGCGUUAAUCGGAAUUACUGGGCGUAAAGUGUGCGCAGGUGGCCGCGCAUGUCGAGUGUGAAAUCCCCGGGCUUAACUUGGGAAUUGCGCUCGAAACUACGUGGCUCGAGUGUGGCAGAGGAAGGUGGAAUUCCACGUGUAGCGGUGAAAUGCGUAGAGAUGUGGAGGAACACCGAUGGCGAAGGCAGCCUUCUGGGCCAACACUGACGCUCAUGCACGAAAGCGUGGGGAGCAAACAGGAUUAGAUACCCUGGUAGUCCACGCCCUAAACGAUGAUGACUAGUUGUUGGGGGAGUUAAAUCCCUUAGUAACGCAGCUAACGCGUGAAGUCAUCCGCCUGGGGAGUACGGUCGCAAGAUUAAA